Molecule: ribosomal RNA, 404 nt
Filed under: uncultured bacterium
Lineage: Bacteria
Description: partial 16S ribosomal RNA
Rfam family: Bacterial small subunit ribosomal RNA
Source: RNAcentral
AUUGAACGCUGGCGGCAGGCCUAACACAUGCAAGUCGAGCGAGCGGCGGACGGGUGAGUAAUGCCUGGGAAUUGCCCAGUCGAGGGUGAUAACAGUUGGAAACGACUGCUAAUACCACAUACGACUGGAGUCGCCAGGUGGGAAUAGCUAGUGGGUGGGGUAAUGGCUCACCAAGGCGACGAUCCGUAGCUGGUCUGAGAGGAUGAUCCGCCACACUGGAACUGAGACACGGUCCAGACUCCUACGGGAGGCAGCAGUGGGGAAUAUUGGACAAUGGGGGAAAGCCUGAUGCAGCCAUGCCGCGUGUGUGAAGAAGGCCUUCGGGUUGUAAAGCACUUUCAUCGGGGAGGCGGUACUCGAAGAAGAAGCACCGGCUAACUCCGUGCCAGCAGCCGCGGUAAUAC